ACGUUUAUAGUUGCAUAUACGUCUGAAUCUAGCUGUUAUAGUUUAUAGCAGAAAGCUCUGAUGAGUGUAAGGAAUACUUUAGUGCAAUUUCUAGUACACAAAAUUAAAUUACGGGUAUUUUCUUCUUCUUUUGUUUGAGUAUAAAAAUGAAUGAUAAGUUCAAGGAGUGGAAAGGUCGUUACGGUCUGUAUGCCGGUUGACAAUGAAUUAUAAUGUUGCAUGGAUUGCCAACAACCUCUUUAAGGAAAUAAUAAGAAAAAUACUGCUACUUAAGUGGAUAUUGCUUCUGUUUCUUGUGAAGGUGUUCUUUCACUUUGUUGUUUCUCAGCUUUCCCCAGCAUUCUAAGACUUUCUUCCCCUAUUUUGCAAUGCGAUUUGCAUUGAAGCAGAUUUUGGUUGAGGUUGUUAAUAAUAAUUCUGCUGGUGGUAUGAAUUCUUUUCACGAAAAUGGAGCAGCAGAUAAUGGAACGGUGGCUCUUGUGGAACCAUCUCAGUCGAACUUCUCAAAUGCUGAAGGGUUGUAUCUGAGCAAGGGUUCAACUAGAAAUGGCAAUGCAGAGUUGUCGCUUUCUCAAAUGCUGAAGGAUCGUCACUGAGCAAGGGUUCAACUAGAAAUGGCAAUGCAGAGUUGUCACAGUCACAGCACCUAGCUUCUUCAGGAACAGAAAAGACCUACGCGAGUACUGGUGUUAGUACGAGGGGAUCU
Molecule: long non-coding RNA, 706 nt
Filed under: Nicotiana benthamiana
Lineage: Eukaryota; Viridiplantae; Streptophyta; Magnoliopsida; Solanales; Solanaceae
Description: long non-coding RNA (NBEN_LNC022478)
Source: RNAcentral